CAGGAGGCUGUAAAACGGCACAGGGCUCUGUCUCUGUGUUUGUGCAACAACAGCACAACUCAUAGUGCUUAUAUCUGGCAGGAUAACCCCACAGGCAGGAUAACCCCACAGACAGGAUAACCCCUCAGACACUAUAACCCCUCAGACACUAUAACCCCACAGGCAGGAUAACCCCACAGGCAGGAUAACCCCUCAGACACUAUAACCCCACAGACACUAUAACCCCACAGGCAGGAUAACCCCACAGGCAGGAUAACCCCACAGGCAGGAUAACCCCACAGACAGGAUAACCCCUCAGACACUAUAACCCCUCAGACACUAUAACCCCACAGGCAGGAUAACCCCACAGGCAGGAUAACCCCACAGACACUAUAACCCCUCAGACACUAUAAACCCACAGGCAGAAUAACCCCUCAGACAGGAUAGCCCCACAUACACUAUAAACCCACAGGCAGGAUAACCCAUCAGACACUAUAAUCCCACAGGCAGGAGAACCCCACAGACAGGAUAACCCCACAGGCAGGAUAACCCCACAGACACUAUAACCCCUCAGACAGGAUAACCCCACAGACACUAUAAACCCAUAGACAGGAUAACCCCACAGGCAGGAUAACCCACAGGCAGGAUAACCCAACAGACACUAUAACCCCACAGACAGGAUAACAGGAUAAC
Oncorhynchus tshawytscha (Chinook salmon) is the source of this 672-nucleotide long non-coding RNA. The record is from Ensembl. NCBI's taxonomy places the organism in Eukaryota, Metazoa, Chordata, Actinopteri, Salmoniformes, Salmonidae.